Molecule: ribosomal RNA, 433 nt
Filed under: uncultured bacterium
Lineage: Bacteria
Description: partial 16S ribosomal RNA
Rfam family: Bacterial small subunit ribosomal RNA
Source: RNAcentral
AACGAACGCUGGCGGCAUGCCUAACACAUGCAAGUCGAACGAGACCUUCGGGUCUAGUGGCGCACGGGUGCGUAACGCGUGGGAACCUGCCCUUAGGUACGGAAUAACUCCCCGAAAGGGGUGCUAAUACCGGAUAAUGUCUUCGGACCAAAGAUUUAUCGCCUUUGGAUGGGCCCGCGUUGGAUUAGCUAGUUGGUAGGGUAAUAGCCUACCAAGGCGACGAUCCAUAGCUGGUCUGAGAGGAUGAUCAGCCACACUGGGACUGAGACACGGCCCAGACUCCUACGGGAGGCAGCAGUGGGGAAUAUUGGACAAUGGGGGAAAGCCUGAUCCAGCAAUGCCGCGUGAGUGAUGAAGGCCUUAGGGUUGUAAAGCUCUUUUACCCGGGAUGAUAAUGACAGUACCGGGAGAAUAAGCCCCGGCUAACUCCGUG